UGAGCGUGAUGUCUACUUGGAGGUUGUGCCCUUGAGGCGUGGCUUCCGGAGCUAACGCGUUAAGUAGACCGCCUGGGGAGUACGGCCGCAAGGUUAAAACUCAAAUGAAUUGACGGGGGCCCGCACAAGCGGUGGAGCAUGUGGUUUAAUUCGAUGCAACGCGAAGAACCUUACCUGGUCUUGACAUCCACAGAAGAAUCCAGAGAUGGAUUUGUGCCUUCGGGAACUGUGAGACAGGUGCUGCAUGGCUGUCGUCAGCUCGUGUUGUGAAAUGUUGGGUUAAGUCCCGCAACGAGCGCAACCCUUAUCCUUUGUUGCCAGCGGUUAGGCCGGGAACUCAAAGGAGACUGCCAGUGAUAAACUGGAGGAAGGUGGGGAUGACGUCAAGUCAUCAUGGCCCUUACGACCAGGGCUACACACGUGCUACAAUGGCGCAUACAAAGAGAAGCGACCUCGCGAGAGCAAGCGGACCUCAUAAAGUGCGUCGUAGUCCGGAUUGGAGUCUGCAACUCGACUCCAUGAAGUCGGAAUCGCUAGUAAUCGUGGAUCAGAAUGCCACGGUGAAUACGUUCCCGGGCCUUGUACACACCGCCCGUCACACCAUGGGAGUGGGUUGCAAAAGAAGUAGGUAGCUUAACCUUCGGGAGGGCGCUUACCACUUUGUGAUUCAUGACUGGGGUGAAGUCUACAAGGGGAGAACCAAAAAACCUGGGGUCAAAGACG
This 723-nucleotide ribosomal RNA is filed under the name Salmonella enterica. Its description in RNAcentral is "bacterial SSU rRNA". It matches the Rfam family "Bacterial small subunit ribosomal RNA", at positions 801 to 1533 of the family's 1533-position model. The record is from RNAcentral. Lineage: Bacteria; Pseudomonadati; Pseudomonadota; Gammaproteobacteria; Enterobacterales; Enterobacteriaceae.